RNAcentral lists this transfer RNA (77 nucleotides) under Serratia phage Slocum. Its description in RNAcentral is "tRNA-His". It matches the Rfam family "tRNA". From Rfam's summary of the family: Transfer RNA (tRNA) molecules are approximately 80 nucleotides in length. Their secondary structure includes four short double-helical elements and three loops (D, anti-codon, and T loops). Further hydrogen bonds mediate the characteristic L-shaped molecular structure. tRNAs have two regions of fundamental functional importance: the anti-codon, which is responsible for specific mRNA codon recognition, and the 3' end, to which the tRNAs corresponding amino acid is attached (by aminoacyl-tRNA synthetases). tRNAs cope with the degeneracy of the genetic code in two manners: having more than one tRNA (with a specific anti-codon) for a particular amino acid; and 'wobble' base-pairing, i.e. permitting non-standard base-pairing at the 3rd anti-codon position. Lineage: Duplodnaviria; Heunggongvirae; Uroviricota; Caudoviricetes; Demerecviridae. The record is from RNAcentral.
GUGGCCAUGGCCGUAAAUGGAUAACGGUACUGCUUGUGACGCAGUGGAUGUGGGAUCGUACCCCACUGGCCACACCA